GGUGAACGCUGGCGGCGUGCUUAAGACAUGCAAGUCGAACGGGCUCUUCGGAGCCAGUGGCGCACGGGUGAGUAACGCGUAACUGACCUACCCCAAAGUCGCGGAUAACGAUUCGAAAGAAUCGCUAAUACGUGAUGUGCUGUCAGAUCCUGUUCUGCCAGUAAAGAUUUAUUGCUUUGGGAUGGGGUUGCGUUCCAUCAGCUAGUUGGUGGGGUAAAGGCCCACUAAGGCGACGACGGAUCGCCGGCCUGAGAGGGUGGCCGGCCACAGGGGCACUGAGACACGGGUCCCACUCCUACGGGAGGCAGCAGUGAGGAAUCUUCCACAAUGGGCGAAAGCCUGAUGGAGCGACGCCGCGUGAGGGAUGAAGGUCUUCGGAUCGUAAACCUCUGAAUCAGGGACGAAAGACGCGAAAGCGGGAUGACGGUACCUGAGUAAUAGCACCGGCUAACUCCGUG
RNAcentral lists this ribosomal RNA (458 nucleotides) under uncultured bacterium. Its description in RNAcentral is "partial 16S ribosomal RNA". It matches the Rfam family "Bacterial small subunit ribosomal RNA", at positions 28 to 507 of the family's 1533-position model. The record is from RNAcentral.